This 24-nucleotide non-coding RNA is filed under the name Arabidopsis thaliana (thale cress). The record is from RNAcentral. Lineage: Eukaryota; Viridiplantae; Streptophyta; Magnoliopsida; Brassicales; Brassicaceae.
AGCUCGUAGUUGAACCUUGGGAUG